This 675-nucleotide ribosomal RNA is filed under the name Salmonella enterica subsp. enterica serovar Enteritidis. Its description in RNAcentral is "partial 23S ribosomal RNA". It matches the Rfam family "Bacterial large subunit ribosomal RNA", at positions 1 to 716 of the family's 2925-position model. The record is from RNAcentral. Lineage: Bacteria; Pseudomonadati; Pseudomonadota; Gammaproteobacteria; Enterobacterales; Enterobacteriaceae.
GGUUAAGCGACUAAGCGUACACGGUGGAUGCCCUGGCAGUCAGAGGCGAUGAAGGGCGUGCUAAUCUGCGAUAAGCGCCGGUAAGGUGAUAUGAACCGUUAUAACCGGCGAUACCCGAAUGGGGAAACCCAGUGUGAUUCGUCACACUAUCAUUAACUGAAUCCAUAGGUUAAUGAGGCGAACCGGGGGAACUGAAACAUCUAAGUACCCCGAGGAAAAGAAAUCAACCGAGAUUCCCCCAGUAGCGGCGAGCGAACGGGGAGGAGCCCAGAGCCUGAAUCAGCAUGUGUGUUAGUGGAAGCGUCUGGAAAGGCGCGCGAUACAGGGUGACAGCCCCGUACACAAAAGCGCAUGUGCUGUGAGCUCGAUGAGUAGGGCGGGACACGUGGUAUCCUGUCUGAAUAUGGGGGGACCAUCCUCCAAGGCUAAAUACUCCUGACUGACCGAUAGUGAACCAGUACCGUGAGGGAAAGGCGAAAAGAACCCCGGCUAGGGGAGUGAAAAAGAACCUGAAACCGUGUACGUACAAGCAGUGGGAGCACAGGUUUACCUGUGUGACUGCGUACCUUUUGUAUAAUGGGUCAGCGACUUAUAUUCUGUAGCAAGGUUAACCGAAUAGGGGAGCCGGAGGGAAACCGAGUCUUAAUUGGGCGUUAAGUUGCAGGGUAUAGACCC